This 406-nucleotide ribosomal RNA is filed under the name Enterobacter sp. 110(2012). RNAcentral's name for it is "partial 16S ribosomal RNA". It matches the Rfam family "Bacterial small subunit ribosomal RNA", at positions 988 to 1394 of the family's 1533-position model. The record is from RNAcentral. Lineage: Bacteria; Pseudomonadati; Pseudomonadota; Gammaproteobacteria; Enterobacterales; Enterobacteriaceae.
CYKWWYURSUYMGCAGAGAUGSWUUGGUGCCUUCGGGAACUCUGAGACAGGUGCUGCAUGGCUGUCGUCAGCUCGUGUUGUGAAAUGUUGGGUUAAGUCCCGCAACGAGCGCAACCCUUAUCCUUUGUUGCCAGCGGUYCGGCCGGGAACUCAAAGGAGACUGCCAGUGAUAAACUGGAGGAAGGUGGGGAUGACGUCAAGUCAUCAUGGCCCUUACGAGUAGGGCUACACACGUGCUACAAUGGCGCAUACAAAGAGAAGCGACCUCGCGAGAGCAAGCGGACCUCAUAAAGUGCGUCGUAGUCCGGAUUGGAGUCUGCAACUCGACUCCAUGAAGUCGGAAUCGCUAGUAAUCGUAGAUCAGAAUGCUACGGUGAAUACGUUCCCGGGUCUGUAMCACACCGAA